Molecule: non-coding RNA, 383 nt
Organism: Pelobates cultripes (western spadefoot toad)
Lineage: Eukaryota; Metazoa; Chordata; Amphibia; Anura; Pelobatidae
Source: the annotation of a GenBank genome assembly
CUUGUUAGUACAAAAUAGGAAUGCUCUUGUUAAACACAACAAUGUUCUGGGGAAGCGGAGCACUGCUGUGCCAGAUGCUUUUUCAAUAAAUUAAUCACAGGUACUAAUGUGCUUAUUCAGUAGUUUUAUACACUCGGCUGCCUUAAUUACUCCUUCUCCAGAUGACCACCAGAGAGUAGGCCUCAUUCUUGCAGUAAAAACUUAGCACUUUGGAGGGAGAGUUAAGUAAACAGAAUAACAGCAUUUCCUUGUCCUUGUGCAGGUACUGUAACCCUCCUGGCCCUGAAUGGCCUUAAUCUAUGUUAUCAAGCUUUCCCCCCCAUCCCUUCUACACAGUUGCAUUUCCUUCAUUUUGACUUCCCUCUUUGCAUGUUACUUUACUG